AUUGAACGCUGGCGGCAUGCCUUACACAUGCAAGUCGAACGGCAGCACGGGGGCAACCCUGGUGGCGAGUGGCGAACGGGUGAGUAACAUAUCGGAACAUACCCUAGAGUGGGGGAUAACGUAGCGAAAGUUACGCUAAUACCGCAUACGAUCUAAGGAUGAAAGUGGGGGAUCUUCGGACCUCAUGCUCAUGGAGUGGCCGAUAUCUGAUUAGCUAGUUGGUGAGGUAAAGGCUCACCAAGGCGACGAUCAGUAGCUGGUUUGAGAGAACGACCAGCCACACUGGAACUGAGACACGGUCCAGACUCCUACGGAGGCAGCAGUGGGGAAUUUGGACAAUGGGGGGCAACCCUGAUCCAGCAAUGCCG
Molecule: ribosomal RNA, 368 nt
Filed under: uncultured bacterium
Lineage: Bacteria
Description: bacterial SSU rRNA
Rfam family: Bacterial small subunit ribosomal RNA
Source: RNAcentral